This is a long non-coding RNA of Molossus molossus (Pallas's mastiff bat), 740 nucleotides long. RefSeq lists it as uncharacterized. The transcript has 4 exons. Lineage: Eukaryota; Metazoa; Chordata; Mammalia; Chiroptera; Molossidae. The record is from RefSeq and is a predicted model, not a curated record.
UUCUAAUUUCUCAACAUCCUUGUCAACAUUUAUUGUUGUCUUUUUUAUCAUAGCCAUUCUAUUCUACAAGAAAUAUAUAUGUCCUUUAUUGGAUAGGAUUUUGGAGAACGGGAAGAAAUUUGUCUCAAAACAGAAACAAACUGACAUGGCUCUGUUUUUCUCUGGGGCAUCCAAGUCUCUAUGAACAAGUUAGAGCAAGUCAUUACCCCACUCCCACAGCCAGGCAAGGCCUGAUGCAGUGAAGUCUGAUGCCCAGGAAUGAAGAGCAGCUGAAACCCAGAGCCACGAGAAUUGAGCAGAAGCUAGAGACAGGCUGGUAGCUGGAGAGGUGCUCAUAGACACAGAGGAGGACUGUAAGUCUGGCUGUGCAAAAGGUAUUUCAUUCCAUCAGUCAGUCCUUACUGGGCACCAACUAUUGGCCAGGCCCUGUUUUAGGUGUUGGGGACACAGCAUUGCAUGAGACAGUCUCCGUCCCCAUGGCUCUGCGUUCUGAUGGUGAAGGACAGAACAUCAAGCAACACGGUAACAGCUGGGAUUAUGACAGCUACAGAGGAAAUAACCAGGAAGCUGUGAUGGACAUGGAGGGCAGUACUUUAGAUAGGCUGUCUUGGAGAAAGGAAUGGAAGGGAGGCUGACCACCAUAGGGUUGUCAAAGCCCCGUGUAGAGACAGAGCCCAGAGGAGGGUGCUGGAUCAGGAAACACUGGCCACUCUCCUGAAUCAGCAUGUGGCCUCUGAUAC